CCAGGUACCUCAUUUUACAGGUGAGGACAUCGGAGCCUGGAGAGAAAUAACUUGUCCAAGGUCAUUCAGUAUCAGAGUGGUAGAGCCCACACAGUUCCCAAGGCCUUUUCUCCCAGGCGGAGAGCUCUUUCCCUCUCCCUGUGAUGUGGCUGCUGCAGCCACACAAACCAACUGUUCUUGUUACACGUGUCAUGGUCAAAUGUCCACUAGCUGCCCAAGGGCAAGAUGAGUUACAAGAGCAAUUCUUCCCAUGACUUUACAGUUGUCAGGAGGGGUCAAGGACGCUUUCAAGAUUCACACUCUGACCGUGGCAAGCCAGGUUCUCGGAGGGUUAAAUGACUGAUGAAAAGAAAGCCAAAGGCUGAGUCAGAACCAGGGACAGAACGGCUGGCACAGCCCUGUCUUGCUGGGGAAGGCAAAGUUCUCCAUUUUGGCAAGGUCCGUGAAUGUCUCUUUUUGCUUUUCCUGGGUCUCUGGUGCACUUGUUGGAUUGAAUCUUAAAGCAUACCCUGAAUGCUAAACAUCUCAGGAUAAUGCACUAAGUCCUUCCUCAGCUGGGCUGGCCCAUCUUUCUACAGCCUCACCCUAAUAUACCUACUCUGCUCAGGGCACAGGAAACAUAGCCCACACUUUCACAUCUUCAUUUACUUUUUUUUUGGUUAUUCUCUCCACCAGGAAUAUCUUCCCCUCUUUAACUGGCAAACCUGCACUUGACUUUGAGGAUGGAGUUUAAAUGCCUGCUCCUUUUCAUAGCCUCCUCUGGCUCUUCUCUCCUAGUCCCCUCACUUGUCUUCCCAGAGAACUCUGUUCCUGGCACCUCUCUGCCCUUCCUGAGUUGAAUUCUAGCUAUUUGUUAACAUGUUUUCUCCUAUGGCUGUCCUGAGGCUCUCUCAAGGACAGUGACUCAGUCAUAUUCAUCUUUGUACCCUGGGUUGUCAGCUCAGUUACUGGGACACAGAGGGAACAAAAGAAUUACUACUUUAAACUACACAGAAAUGCAUCUACUUAAGGAAAACUUUGCUCCAAGUUCCCAAAUGGAAAAGCCAAUGAAGGAGUUGUUGUUGUUGUUGUUGUCGUUUGCCCCUAAGAGUAUAGCAAAGGCCCCCAACCAGCCAGUUUUCAUUCUGAAUGGUAAAGUGUCAUUUUACAAGCUGCUGCCACGAGCAAGCCUCCACGCAUGUCGAAUGCACACUUGUAUGCAUGCACACACACAUAGGAGCUAGAAGGAGCUGGUUGCUCUAUGGCAAGAAGCAGCAAAGAAGAUAAGAUCACCAUACUGCAAAGGAAGGUAAGCCACGUGAUGAUGUGGGUAACCCCAGGCACAGAUGAUACCCUCAGCGAGGCCCAGCUUAAAUCUAACCACAUCAACUUUUCAUGAAACAGACAUGAAAAAGUAAGACUAAGACAAUUACAAAAAAGGUGGUUUAAUGCCUUCUUGCCUCGAUGGUAUCAAAGCUAUUGGCUCCAGGGCUACACUUGGGGAAACAAUUCUUUGAGAUAAGGAGAUGAACUAUCUGCUCAAAAGAAUGUGCAGGAAGCCAAGGUAACUGGGCAACACAUAAUGAAACGGUUUGUGGCCAAUGAGCCGUCUAAACAAAAAUAUCCCUGGUAGGCAUCAGUUGUAUAAGUGAAGGAAACCAAACCCACCCUUGUUUCAAAGUGAAGACUUUGUGGGUGCCAGUGUGUGAGUGUGUGUGUGUGUGUCCUCACUAAAUAUUAUAGUUAAAGUGAAAUUCACAAGUCCUCCAGCUGUGGCUGACACUGGUAUAAAAUGAAAAGGUUGAGAAGGUGAGACUAGUUGUCAUACAGCAACCUUGAAGUGCCUUUCCGGGUGGCACUGCCUGCUAUGUGAAGGCUCAUUUGCUGAAUGACCAUCACUACGUCAACACAAAUUGAGAUCUCAGCAUUGAUUUAUCGGUGUGUGUCCCAGAAAGACACACUGCAUUUCAGCAUCACGGUAUUCUGAUGUAGUUAGGUUCUGAAUUCUCUGAGCCACAGACGAUGGCAAUCUUUUGAUGAUUCUUUAAGGUCCCCAGAUCCACAGAAUGUGACAGCUGGGAUGAGCUUCCGGGGGUGCCGAUUGGAAGCUUUACAGGCUCUAAAACUUGCUACUGAAUCUCAGCUCUGGCAUUAGUCGGUGUUCUUUGAUUUCAGGCUGGAUGACAGGGUCAAGAUGCCAGCCCACCAAAUCCAUCAUCGGAAAGAAACUCGGGGCCAGCCCAUCUCCUAAAAGCUGAGUAUGUUGCACAGAUUGCUGGUUCUAAAUA
This 2267-nucleotide long non-coding RNA is filed under the name Homo sapiens (human). RNAcentral describes it as "HSALNT0221051". Lineage: Eukaryota; Metazoa; Chordata; Mammalia; Primates; Hominidae. The record is from RNAcentral.